This 429-nucleotide ribosomal RNA is filed under the name Bacteroidota bacterium. RNAcentral's name for it is "Bacteroidetes bacterium partial 16S ribosomal RNA". It matches the Rfam family "Bacterial small subunit ribosomal RNA", at positions 355 to 776 of the family's 1533-position model. Lineage: Bacteria; Pseudomonadati; Bacteroidota. The record is from RNAcentral.
UAGGGAAUCUUCCGCAAUGGACGCAAGUCUGACCGAGCAACGCCGCGUGAGUGAAGAAGGUUUUCGGAUCGUAAAGCUCUGUUGUUAAGGAAGAACGAGUGUGAGAAUGGAAAGUUCAUGCUGUGACGGUACUUAACCAGAAAGGGACGGCUAACUACGUGCCAGCAGCCGCGGUAAUACGUAGGUCCCGAGCGUUGUCCGGAUUUAUUGGGCGUAAAGCGAGCGCAGGCGGUUAGAAAAGUCUGAAGUGAAAGGCAGUGGCUCAACCAUUGUAGGCUUUGGAAACUGUUUAACUUGAGUGCAGAAGGGGAGAGUGGAAUUCCAUGUGUAGCGGUGAAAUGCGUAGAUAUAUGGAGGAACACCGGUGGCGAAAGCGGCUCUCUGGUCUGUAACUGACGCUGAGGCUCGAAAGCGUGGGGAGCGAACAGG